GACGAACGCUGGCGGCGUGCUUAACACAUGCAAGUCGAACGGAAAGGCCCUGCUUUUGUGGGGUGCUCGAGUGGCGAACGGGUGAGUAACACGUGAGUAACCUGCCCUUGACUUUGGGAUAACUUCAGGAAACUGGGGCUAAUACCGGAUAGGAGCUCCUGCUGCAUGGUGGGGGUUGGAAAGUUUCGGCGGUUGGGGAUGGACUCGCGGCUUAUCAGCUUGUUGGUGGGGUAGUGGCUUACCAAGGCUUUGACGGGUAGCCGGCCUGAGGGGGUGACCGGCCACAUUGGGACUGAGACGCGGCCGAGACUCCUGCGGGGGGCAGGAGUGGGGAAUAUUGCAAAAUGGGCGGAAGCCUGAUGCAGCAGCGCCGCGUGCGGGAUGACGGCCUUCGGGUUGAAAACCGCUUUCGCCUGUGACGAAGCGUGAGUGGCGGUAAUGGGUAAAGAAGCACCGGCAAACUACG
RNAcentral lists this ribosomal RNA (466 nucleotides) under uncultured bacterium. RNAcentral describes it as "partial 16S ribosomal RNA". It matches the Rfam family "Bacterial small subunit ribosomal RNA", at positions 28 to 505 of the family's 1533-position model. The record is from RNAcentral.